UCAGAGUGAACGCUGGCGGCAGGCCUAACACAUGCAAGUCGAACGGCAGCACGGCAGUAGCAAUACUGUGGGUGGCGAGUGGCGGACGGGUGAGGAAUACAUCGGGAUCUACCCUGUUGUGGGGGGAUAACGUAGGGAAACUUACGCUAAUACCGCAUAAGAACUGAGGUUGAAAGCGGCGGACCGCAAGGCGUCGCGCGAUUGGAUGAACCGAUGUCCGAUUAGCUAGUUGGCGGGGUAAAGGCCCACCAAGGCGACGAUCGGUAGCUGGUCUGAGAGGACGACCAGCCACACUGGAACUGAGACACGGUCCAGACUCCUACGGGAGGCAGCAGUGGGGAAUAUUGGACAAUGGGCGCAAGCCUGAUCCAGCCAUGCCGCGUGGGUGAAGAAGGCCUUCGGGUUGUAAAGCCCUUUAGGUGGGGAGGAAGGCAUUCAUGCUAAUACCAUGGAUGAUUGACGUUACCCACAGAAUAAGCACCGGCUAACUCCGUG
Molecule: ribosomal RNA, 495 nt
Filed under: uncultured bacterium
Lineage: Bacteria
Description: bacterial SSU rRNA
Rfam family: Bacterial small subunit ribosomal RNA
Source: RNAcentral